Molecule: ribosomal RNA, 423 nt
Filed under: Aphonopelma vorhiesi
Lineage: Eukaryota; Metazoa; Arthropoda; Arachnida; Araneae; Theraphosidae
Description: partial 16S ribosomal RNA
Rfam family: Archaeal large subunit ribosomal RNA
Source: RNAcentral
UUCUAAUUGCUUCACAAUUAGUAAGACCUGCUCAAUGAUUAUUAAAUGGCCAACUAAGCUAAGGUAGCACAAUAACUCGCCUAUUAAUUGUAGGAUGGAAUGAAAGGUCAAACAUGAAGUUUUCUUUAUUACUUUAGUUAAUUGAAUCUAUCGUGAAAGUAAAAAGACUUUCAUUUAUAAGAGGGACGACAAGACCCUGUCGAGCUUCACUUAUGUUUAGCUGGGGUGGCAUAAAACUAAAUCUUUUCAUAUCUUACAUUUUCAAUCCUAGAUUACGAUAAAUCAAGCUACCGCAGGGAUAACAGCAUAAUUUUUUUCAAGAGACCUUAUCAAAAAAAAAGAUUAUGACCUCGAUGUUGAAUAAGAUUCUCCUUAAAGCAGAAUUUAAGAAUGGAAAGUCUGUUCGACUUUUAAACACUUACA